This is a non-coding RNA of Phascolarctos cinereus (koala), 510 nucleotides long. The record is from RefSeq and is a predicted model, not a curated record. Lineage: Eukaryota; Metazoa; Chordata; Mammalia; Diprotodontia; Phascolarctidae.
UUUGCUCACAUAUUAAUUUAAGGUUGAAGCCAGAGAAGAGACCAAAUAUACAUUACCCUGGUCUAGUCUGUCAACUAACUGCUGCUUAUAAAACUGGCAAAACAUUUGCUGCAGUUCUUCUAUCACUAUGGAAGCCAAUCACAGAGGCACAAGGCUCAAACCCUGUUGGUUGCCUUCUAGUCGACUUUGACCUUUGUGGUGAAAAUCGGACUUGUACCCAGGAUGCAUUUGCUCCCUCAUUUCCAAGCUCUGCCUCCAUCAGGCCACAAGACCACAGCCAGGGACGCAGGCGCUCCCAGCAUUUGGUGCCUAGACAGGGCCCUGAAAGGAAGGCUUCCCCCAGCAGAGUGACCCUGGACAAGGUGGGCUGUUUGGCCAACAUCCCUAGAAAAGGAGCUCCGGUCGUCAAGGGAAUACGCUAACAAGAACAUGCAGGAGAACCAGUCUGGGUUCCUGAGAUGAACAUCUGCACCUGUCAGCAUACUGACCAGAGGGAUAGAGACCCUGAGC